UCUCAUGGAGAGUUCGAUCCUGGCUCAGGAUGAACGCUGGCGGCGAUGCUUAACACAUGCA
RNAcentral lists this non-coding RNA (61 nucleotides) under Landoltia punctata. The record is from RNAcentral. Lineage: Eukaryota; Viridiplantae; Streptophyta; Magnoliopsida; Alismatales; Araceae.